This 1227-nucleotide long non-coding RNA is filed under the name Struthio camelus australis. RNAcentral's name for it is "lncRNA (ENSSCUG00000016864.1)". Lineage: Eukaryota; Metazoa; Chordata; Aves; Struthioniformes; Struthionidae. The record is from RNAcentral.
CCCAAGCUUCGCAUUUCCCUUUCUCUUUGAAGAAGCAAAACCCUCCAGUAAUCUUUGGGUGCAUGAUUUGAGGCUUUGUCAACUGUUCUCAGUAAGGCAUGAGCAUUCACAACUCUCCUUCCCUAUGUGUUUUACACUUCAGAAAAAAAUCAAAGCCAGCACAACUCCCAACUGUUCACACGAGAAGACAGAACCUGCCUCUACCCUGCAGUCUCUGCAUGUCUUGUCGGGGCCUCCACUCACACAGCCUGGGAAGAAGGAAGGUGGGAAUAUAUUUUUACAGGUUAUUACAAAAAGUGUCAAGUUUAAGCUUGUACAUUCCAAAUAACCAGUUGUUUAGGGUUCUUCACCUACUUACUGAUCGUCUUGGACUUCAGAGGACCCUCUGAAGAUGUGCAGCUGAAAACCGAACCACCCAAAGUAUUGGCUGAUGAUGAUUUUUCCAGCCCCACUGCUGGUGUCAGUAGAACUGUGAUGAGACCCUAGGUGGGUUCAAGUCACCGAUCAGUAAGCCCCUACAACGGAAGAAGACUCUGAGGGGAUGGGCAAGGGCCACGUGCCCCGUGAAGCUCAGGGACAAAUAUAGGGUGUGAUGGAGCACAGCUGUUACGCGGAAAGCUGACUUCAUCUCAACACAAAGGGGACCCGAGGGUGGCCUUUGUUUUAGACAAACAGCUAUGUCAGUUGAGUGGAUCAGCUGACUACAUCACAGUUGAGUGGAUCAACUGAUGGUGUAAAUGUUUCUCCCUGAGUUCAUCAAAAGAGCGUGAAUGUCUCCCUGAGUUAGCCAGACCAGCGUGGGGGGAGUGUAUUUGUGGUUCAGCUCAACAUAGGAUAUAAAAACAGAAAACUAACAGAAGAACUUCAAAGAGAGCAAGGGGCUUGAGCUGGUUUCAAACCAUGUAUUCCUUCCCGGUGACUAGGGACACCCAGCGUCAUGACAGUGAGCAUAUUAUGGAGCCUGGUAAAAUGAGGAUCACACUGGUAUUGUGAUUGAACUGUACAUUGCAAUUGCUAUAUUUUGCAAAGUGUAACUUACACUCGUAUUAUGAUUUCAGUAUUUUCAGUAUAUAUUCAUUAUGUGAAAAGGAGUUUGGUUUUCCUUAAGAAAGAAGGGUGGUUUGCUUUUUAUUUACCUAGGCAUCAGUACUGUGUCUUUUUCAAGUGAGAAGAACAAUGGAUAUAGGUAGACAUCUAAAUAAAUAACUGUGGGUAUGUUUCUCUUCA